Molecule: non-coding RNA, 903 nt
Filed under: Amphiura sp. CZ-2022
Lineage: Eukaryota; Metazoa; Echinodermata; Ophiuroidea; Amphilepidida; Amphiuridae
Description: 12S ribosomal RNA
Rfam family: Microsporidia small subunit ribosomal RNA (bases 179-903)
Source: RNAcentral
UAGGAAUUUGGUUCUGGUUUUUGUAGUUGGGUUCUUCGAGAAUUAAUGCAUGUGAGUUUUUGAAGCGUUCUGGUAAGGCAGUGACUCCUUUAUAUUUAUGAAUUUAAAGAUAAAUAAGUUAGGAUAACACAAGAGAUAACCAUAAGUUUUUGGGUAUAAUAUCCGUUAAGUAGCGUUACACCUGCAGCAGGUAAUACUUAACACUAACCGAAAGGUUGAUUAGAUCAAGGGAGAAUAGAUCUGGCUAAGUCUCGUGCCAGCAGCCGCGGUUACACGAACUGGAUCUCUUAACACAGUAUGCGGCUUAUUGAGGAAACAUUUGAAUGAUCAAUUAGUUAAAAAGGGCUAAGAAAAAAGGGUGCAAUCUUAAUUUGGUUCGGAGGGGUAAAUGAGUGAUGGAGACCUUGUGAAUUAGGGGGGAGACCCGGAUUAGAUACCCGGUUAUUCCUAAUCGUAAAAAAUAAUGCCGGUGGAGUAUGGGGGUGUCCCUGAGAAACAAAGAACUUGGCGGUUGUCUAUGUCUGACUAGGGGUGUCUGCUAAAUGUAAACCGGUGAUCCGCGUUAUACCUUACUUUUACUUGAAAAUCAGCUACUAUAUCAUCGUCGUUAACCUUCUAUCGUGAGUUGAGCCGGGUUAAGAGCCAAGUCAAUUGGGCUAGACGUCAGAUCGAGAUGGUGUCUAUGUGAAAUGGAUUUGGUUGGCAGCAUUGGCUUUUGGCCUCUUUAGUUUGGAUCUUUUACUGAAAUGGAAAAGGGAAAUUGGACUUAGUAGUAAUAAAAGAAGAGAAAAAUUUUAUGAAGAUAGCUAUUAGGCUUCGUACACAUCGCCCGUCACCUGCGGAGUUAAAUUUGGAGUAAGUCGUAACAUAGUAGGCGGACCGGAAGGUGUGGCCUGGAAAGAU